GCUGGCGUAGCUCAACGGUAGAGCAGCCGCCUUGUAAGCGGCAGGUUGUCGGUUCGAAUCCGUCCGCCAGCU
This 72-nucleotide transfer RNA is filed under the name Thermaerobacter composti. RNAcentral's name for it is "tRNA-Thr". It matches the Rfam family "tRNA". Rfam says of the family: Transfer RNA (tRNA) molecules are approximately 80 nucleotides in length. Lineage: Bacteria; Bacillati; Bacillota; Clostridia; Eubacteriales; Clostridiales Family XVII. Incertae Sedis. The record is from RNAcentral. RNAcentral also lists the same sequence under 5 other names.